UCGACGAUCGAAGAACUGAGUGUGACUUUUGUAUACAGUGUUCGUUUUGGGCCUAUAAGUACUUUUUGAAAAUUUAGCCAUCCUUUUGGAUUGAAAUCACCCUUUAGCUCGCAUUGUAUAAGGGAUUUCGGCCGUUUGUAGAAGAACAAGCACUUGCUUAUUUGGAAUGCUUGAUUGUCGGCAAUCGAAGAACUGCAUGUGACUUUUG
Molecule: long non-coding RNA, 208 nt
Filed under: Olea europaea (common olive)
Lineage: Eukaryota; Viridiplantae; Streptophyta; Magnoliopsida; Lamiales; Oleaceae
Description: long non-coding RNA (OEUR_LNC009814)
Source: RNAcentral